CAGCCGCCACGGGAAUACGAAGGGUGCAAGCGUUAAUCGGAAUUACUGGGCGUAAAGCGUGCGUAGGCGGUGAGUUAAGUCUGCUGUGAAAUCCCCGGGCUCAACCUGGGAAUGGCAGUGGAUACUGGCUCGCUAGAGUGUGUCAGAGGAUGGUGGAAUUCCCGGUGUAGCGGUGAAAUGCGUAGAGAUCGGGAGGAACACCAGUGGCGAAGGCGGCCAUCUGGGACAACACUGACGCUGAGGCACGAAAGCGUGGGGAGCAAACAGGAUUAGAUACCCCAGUAGUCCCUGUCUCUUAUAC
Molecule: ribosomal RNA, 301 nt
Filed under: uncultured bacterium
Lineage: Bacteria
Description: partial 16S ribosomal RNA
Rfam family: Bacterial small subunit ribosomal RNA
Source: RNAcentral